This 413-nucleotide ribosomal RNA is filed under the name uncultured bacterium. RNAcentral's name for it is "bacterial SSU rRNA". It matches the Rfam family "Bacterial small subunit ribosomal RNA", at positions 355 to 786 of the family's 1533-position model. The record is from RNAcentral.
UGGGGAGUAUUGCACAAUGGGGAGGACCCUGAUGCAGCGACGCCGCGUGGGUGAAGGAGUGCUUCGGCAUGUAAAGCCCUAUCGGCAGGGAAGAAUAUGACGGUACCUGACUAAGAAGCCCCGCGUACAUACGUGCCAGCAGCCGCGGUAAUACGUAGGGGCGAAGCGUUAUCCGGAUUCACUGGGUGUAAAGGGAGCGUAGACGGCCGUGCAAGCCUGGAGUGAAAGCCCGGGGCCAACCCGGCAGCUGCUCUGGGAACUGCACGGCUGGAGUGCGGGAGGGGCAGGCGGAAUUCCUGGUGUAGCGGUGAAAUGCGUAGAUAUCAGGAGGAACACCGGCGGCGAAGGCGGCCUGCUGGACCGCGACUGACGUUGAGGCUCGAAAGCGUGGGGAGCGAACAGGAUUAGAUACC